This 1566-nucleotide long non-coding RNA is filed under the name Bemisia tabaci. Its description in RNAcentral is "lncRNA ENSSSA1UGG010611". The record is from RNAcentral. Lineage: Eukaryota; Metazoa; Arthropoda; Insecta; Hemiptera; Aleyrodidae.
UGUGAGCUUGAGGGCAUUUUAGGGAAAGCUGAAGAAAUGGAAACCAACUAUAAUAUUGAAAAUGUCAUUGUCCAGAGAGAUGAGGAUGCUCUAGAUCCUUACAUCCCAAGAAUGCAUCAUCAUGGUAUCCAUCAAAGGCCGAGGAUCCCUACUCAGUUUCUACACCAAACACAUGCGAAUUCAAAUCGUACUUCAACGAAAGUGACGAAAGAAGGGAAUAAACUCAUCUUCUGUCAAGAAAAAAAGAGAUCUAACUAGUGCAUUUCCAUCAGUCUUAUGGUUAAAUUCAAUGGAAAGCUUCAUUCGUUCUCAAAAGAAUUUUUAAGUCUAAAAGCACUAAAAUGAUGUCACUUUGAAAUCAAUCACACAAAGAGUGUAGCUGCCCAUUUUUUCUCACUGUUUCAGUUAAGUAAUGGAAUCGGUGGUGUGGAUAUGUCUCAAACAAUAUCUGCACAAUUGGUGCAUUUUUUGUAACCUGUGAAUAGCCCUAUUUUACUCUCUCUUUUCUACCCGGUAAAAAUUGUUUUGUAUCAGUUUGUUUCUAGCUGUGGAAAAGUGGAGGAAGUUAUUUUUCCCUGUGUUUUUUCUGUCAUUUAGGAAUAGAGAAUUUAUUUUAAAGUAUAGAUGAAUGACUGUUUAGUGUGACUUAAUUGCAUCAGACGAAAUAUUUGAUCGUGCUUCUGUUCAUUCGCCACCUUAAGAAUUCCCAUGGCCGCUUUGCGGCCCAACCCCUGUAAGCGCUAAGCGCCUCCAAGCGGCGCUUGUAGUGUCACGGAUUUCUUUACUUGAGAAGAAAGACAAUAUAAAGAAACACAAGAGACAACUAUCGCGAGGUAAUCAUGAAUGAUAUUAAUCCUAAUCUAAUAACAAAAUUGAAGCAAUUGAAAUAAACGUUUUUAAGUUGAAUGAGUUCAUUAUUUUAUCAAGUGUCAAUGUUUAUGUGUGCACUCACUUACUUUUUAUUCUUCGGUCCUGAUUUUCUAGUUAAGAAACGACUAUGAUCGUCUCAGACCCUAUAGGUUUAUCUUCAGGUCGAAUACGCAGCGAUCGCGAGACGCAAACUUGUGUUAAAGGAUUAAAAUAAAAAAUAAGUACGUUACUGCACUAUACCACGUUAUCAAUGCGUACUCGUGAUUCCAACUUCGUGAGUUCUAGCAAGGAGGGGGAAAAGAAAGAAAAAAGAAAAUGAUCAUAGUCGUGUUUUAACUAGAAAAUCAGGGCCGAAGAAUGGAAAGUAAGUAAGUGCACACAGAAGUAAACGUUUUUAUUGAAAUCACAAAACUAAGUGUUACGAUGACUGCAAAACUUCCUUGUAAUCGAUGAUGCACACUGUGUUCUCCUCCUCCGCACUAUUGGCUGCCUGAAUUUGACUUUUAAGGCCUGUUCGAAAUUUUUACUAACUUUUUUUUAUUUUUUUUUUAACAAAAAGUAGGGUAAUUAUUUUUGGGGGCUGAAAUUUUCAGGGAUUACUAUUGGCAUAUAGGCCUAUCAAAAUCCGAAGUUUGUUUGAAAUCUGAGGGUGGGCGGAUUUUGCCGUUUUGCAUAGACCUCUUUGGGAAACUUGGG